Molecule: transfer RNA, 83 nt
Filed under: Alligator mississippiensis (American alligator)
Lineage: Eukaryota; Metazoa; Chordata; Crocodylia; Alligatoridae
Rfam family: tRNA
About the family: Transfer RNA (tRNA) molecules are approximately 80 nucleotides in length. Their secondary structure includes four short double-helical elements and three loops (D, anti-codon, and T loops). Further hydrogen bonds mediate the characteristic L-shaped molecular structure. tRNAs have two regions of fundamental functional importance: the anti-codon, which is responsible for specific mRNA codon recognition, and the 3' end, to which the tRNAs corresponding amino acid is attached (by aminoacyl-tRNA synthetases). tRNAs cope with the degeneracy of the genetic code in two manners: having more than one tRNA (with a specific anti-codon) for a particular amino acid; and 'wobble' base-pairing, i.e. permitting non-standard base-pairing at the 3rd anti-codon position.
Source: Rfam by way of RNAcentral
GUCAAGAUUGCUGAGCAGUCUAAGGCACUGUGUUCAAGUUGCAUUAUCCCCUGGAGUCAUGGGUUUGAAUCCCAUUCCUGACA